UCUGCCUCCGGUCUCUACUUUCCAGGCACGAGGUGGACAGCCCCCUCUGCCACAUUCUCCUGUGCUGUAUCACUACCAGCAACAGAGGAUGGGACCAUAGACUGAGCCCAAAAGAAACCUUCCUCUUACUCAGUUGAUUUACCACAAGUAUUCGUUACAGCAACGGAACACGUGGCGGGCAGGGCAUGGCUGCCACACAGAGUUAGAAGGGCCAGAAAUAUCUUGCACCUGUUAGAGGAGAUGCUUGAGGGACUAUAAAGAGGAGGAGCCGGCUGGUCUUCAGACUCCUGCCGAGGAAGGAGAGGAAAGGAAAGAAGGCUUUCCAGAAGGAUCUCAGGCUACUGUGAGGCUCCAAGGGUCUUAGCACAGAAACCGCCCACUGUAGGAGUCCCCACGGGGCCCAGGUGUCCGUUCCAAGUCCCCUGCUGUACUAAGUAUAGGCUGGAGCUGUUUGGAGAAACCGUGGCCUCGGCCCCCAGACCUGACUGCGCCUGGAGAUGCUGCCUGUGCCUUCCUCCAGGUGAGGGCCAAGUGGUGCUCCUAGGGAAUGACAGCCAUACUCCUGGAGUGAAGGGGAAACCGACAAAACGGGAAGGGAGAAACAAAAAGGCAGGAGCAAGCAGGCAAAGAGCAAGUGCUUUCUUCUUCCAAGUCCUUAUAUAUUGACUUCCAGCAGAACACAUGACCCAGAUUAAAGGUGUGUCUUCCCGCCUCCCACCUCAAAGCUGUGGACUAGAAGUGGAUUUGAAGUGCAACCAGCAAACCCAGGAACCUUUUUAUCAUGCAAGGAAAAAAAAAGCAAAAUAAAUAAAUAAAUAAAUAAAUAAAUAAUAA
This 834-nucleotide small RNA is filed under the name Rattus norvegicus (Norway rat). RNAcentral's name for it is "uncharacterized LOC102548331". Lineage: Eukaryota; Metazoa; Chordata; Mammalia; Rodentia; Muridae. The record is from RNAcentral.